This 497-nucleotide ribosomal RNA is filed under the name uncultured bacterium. RNAcentral's name for it is "partial 16S ribosomal RNA". It matches the Rfam family "Bacterial small subunit ribosomal RNA", at positions 28 to 507 of the family's 1533-position model. The record is from RNAcentral.
GAUGAACGCUGGCGGCGUGCCUAAUACAUGCAAGUCGAGCGAACGGACGAGAAGCUGGCUUCUCUGAUGUUAGCGGCGGACGGGUGAGUAACACGUGGAUAACCUACCUAUAAGACUGGGAUAACUUCGGGAAACCGGAGCUAAUACCGGAUAAUAUUUUGAACCGCAUGGUUCAAAAGUGAAAGACGGUCUUGCUGUCACUUAUAGAUGGAUCCGCGCUGCAUUAGCUAGUUGGUAAGGUAACGGAUUACCAAGGCAACGAUGCAUAGCCGACCUGAGAGGGUGGUCGGCCACCCUGGAACUGAGGCAGGGUCCAGACGCCUACGGGAGGCAGCAGUAGGGAAUCGUCCGCAAUGGGCGAAAGCCUGACGGAGCAAGGCCGAGUGAGUGAUGAAGGUCUCCGGAUCGUAAAACUCUGUUAUUAGGGAAGAACAUAUGUGUAAGUAACUGUGCACAUCUUGACGGUACCUAAUCAGAAAGCCACGGCUAACUACGUG